Molecule: transfer RNA, 73 nt
Filed under: Camelus ferus (Wild Bactrian camel)
Lineage: Eukaryota; Metazoa; Chordata; Mammalia; Artiodactyla; Camelidae
Rfam family: tRNA
About the family: Transfer RNA (tRNA) molecules are approximately 80 nucleotides in length. Their secondary structure includes four short double-helical elements and three loops (D, anti-codon, and T loops).
Source: Rfam by way of RNAcentral
GAGGGUAUAGCUUAGUGGUAGAGGGCAUGCCUAGCAAUGCACAAGGCCCUGGGUUCAAUUCCCAGUACCUCUG